UGUGAGAGGGAAGGAGAAGAAGAAGGUACUGCUCUUCUUACCCUUGGUUCAGUGAGGUACUCCUGUAUCUUUUUAAUGAUGUCUGCAUGUGCUUAAGCUUGCCCUAGUGACAUUCUAAUUCUUGGCCCCUGUCUUGGUCUGGGCUGCUAUGACAGCUGUGGGCUUAAACCUUGAAUAUUUAUUGCUCACAGUUCUGGAGACUGGAAAGUCCAAAGAUUAACGUGUUAGCAAAUUCAGGGUCUCAUGAAAGUCUGCUGCCUGGUUCACAGAUGGAUGUCUUCUUGCUGUGUCCUUACCUGGAAGAAGAGGUCAGGACAUCUCUUGCGUAUGUUUUCUGAGGCUACUAAUCCCAUUUAUGAGGGCUUCACCCUCAUAACCUCAUCACUCCCAAAGGCACUACCCCCUAAAACUAUUGCAUUGAGGAUUAGAAUUUCAACACAUAAAUUUUAGGAGGAUAUAGUCAGCAUCAAACAAUCCCAACCCGAACAACUACUCCCCUUAAGGGUUCAGAUAGGUGGAUAUUUCUCCAAGUGUCAUAGUUAUACAAGAUGUAGCCACAGACAAGACCAGAAGCCAGAUCCCAGAUUGCUCCUCUUCUUCACUAAUUGAAACAGUUGCUAAUUGAAACAGUAUGAGGUAUUGAUACAUCACCUUGGAGGGUAGUAGGUAGAAAUACUAAUGUUCUCUACUUCGGGCUGACGACUGUGCUUUCUUCCAUGUGACUCCGUACACCUUUAGACCAAAUCACCUUCCAACAUUUCCCAUUAGUUUUGUAUUUUAAAGUUGAAUUAAUUAUCUUUUAAUUAUCUGUUUAAAACUGUAUUAUAGAUAGCGAAGACAAAAAUUACCACAUUUCAGAAUUCUCAUUUUUAACCUAAAUUUAGCUUUAUGCUAAAAAAUGAUCCAUCAAUGAGAAAAAAACAGAAGUGCUGUGAUGACACAUUGUUCGUACUUUGGUUUGCUGGGAUAACAUUCAGAUGCCAUUUCUCAGAAAUAAUGAGAGAAUUUCUUCAAAGGCAAAACACAGGUGUCCCCCUUGACCAUCACCAUGUGUGUAUGGAUACAUGUGUGCACAAGCCUAGUUGGGGGAGGCGUGUGUUUGUGUACAUGUGUAUUUGAGUGUAUGUGUGUGUGCAUGGUGCAUGCAUGCUGCACCUUAAAAGUGUGCAAUCACAAAUGGUCUCUCCUUUCCAGGUUCUUUCUUUGGUUCAAAUUUCUCCUCCUGCCUAUAUCCUACCUCCUCCUUCCUGUAUCCCUGGUCCCAGAUACUUAAAAGAAGCUCCAUGUAGAGCACUGGGUUCUAAUCCUGGCUCUACCAAUUGUGACUUUAGGCAAUUGUUUUUCAACUUUUCUGUGCCUCAGUUUUCUCAUCUGUAAAAGGGGGCCAAUAAUAGUACCUAUUUCAUAAUUUUGUAAAGAUUAAACGAGUAGAUAUAAAACUCUUCAAAACGUGCUUACUCGAAAAUUCUAUUGUGUUAUUGUUAUUAGGAAUAUCCCUUCAUUAUUCUUUUUUAUCUGAAUCCCAGACCUACCCUUCAAUUUCAGAUUGAAACUGGUCUGCUUAUUGGUGAAAUCCUGACCCAGUAACCUAGAACUUAACGAAAGAUUUUCUGGUUUAAGCUCUGCUACAAGGAUCCAUCAACCUCCAGGGGCUCAUCUCAGGGCUGCUGUUAAGAUUUUAUAACAUAACACCUGCCCCAUGUAGAUUUGAAGAUGAUGGCCCUUAUUUCUCAAGAGUUCUAAAACACUAGCAUGAACAACAAUGCACCUAAUUGAAAUGACAGAGUAAUUUGGAAAAUAAAAUUGAGUUGCUACAAAUCUCGAAUUCCAGAAAAAAAAUUAUAUUCACUCAAAAGAGUUCCAUCUUCUCUACUCCUGACCCCUCAUAGGCAUCUUCAUGUCUCCACUGUCCUGGAGACUUCCCCUCUCUCCUGGGGAAGUCUCCGUCUGCUUCUACAAGAAAUGAGCAAGCAUUUCUAAAGUCACGUCCAAGUUCCACACCCUACCCUCGCGUAGCCUCUCUUUUGCCGUUCUGGCUGGCACACUCGGAAGGUCCCAGCUACUUUUGAUAAUGGCCAUACCUACCAUCUCGAGUUACAUUUCAAUCCACACAGUUUUUAGGGAAAUUUGAAGAUGCAGUGUCAUGUGAAGGAAGGGAAUGUCUAGGAAGCAGCAACGAUGUCAGUAUGCUUGAGGCGUAGUGUGUGGGAUGGAUGACAAAAAACUCUGGAGAUGCGAAAAGGUUUUAGUGGCUCAGGUCAAGGAGUUUAAUUUUUAACUGAUUGGCCAUAAGGAGGCAGUGAAAGACUUUCAUCAGGACAGGGUCAUCAUCAAGUCUGCAUUUGAGAAAUACUACUGUGAUUGCAGCAGGAAAAGCAACAGGGGGAAGAAUCAACCAAAUAACUGGAGCACAGGUAGAUGGCAUUUUUCAAACCCACCACUAAGACAUGGUAACGAAUGCCUUCAAGGAUGGAAAAGAGGGGCCAGUUACGAAGAGCUGGAUAUACUCAAUAGGACUUGGAUACAGAGAUUUCAAAGGUGGUGAGAGGGAGGGGUCAGUCUAAGGCGACUCUAGGGCUCCUAGCUUGAGAGACCAGAAUAGAGAUGUCAAGCCUUUAACUAAAGCAGGUAACAUGGGAGAAACACAAAUUCCAUGAAAACAAGUCCCAUUUGGGACAUGUUCAUUGGAAUGAUCAUUUUAAAUGCUCACAGGCACAUAAAUGCUCAUGACUAGUCAGAACUUUGAACUUCAGGUCUGGCACUCAAAGAAGAAAAUCUGGAGAUACGGAUGAAUAUAAUAUACCACCACAGGUAUUGGUAUGUUGCUAUAAAAAUGGAAGUUUGAAGUCCUAGGAGUGAUGAGAGCAACCAAGUACAUUCAUCAAAUGGAGUACAGAGCAUUAGAAAAGAAGAGGCAAAGAUGAUCCUAAGGAAACCAGGAUUUAAGGACCAAUCAAAGGAAGAUGGAUAGUGGGAGAGGAUAUUAAAAAUGGUAAGAAAAUAACCAGGAGAAAGAGGUGUCUCAAAGCCAAGAGAGGACCAAGUUCAGUAAGGAAGUGGCCAGAAGUGUGAAAUUCUACCAGUCAAGAGAAACAAGAAUUAGGUUAAGGAGGACAAGGAGUGAGAAAAGAUGCCCAUUGGGUUUGGAAAUUAAUUGAGGAAAUUAGAAACCUUAACGUAGCAAUGUACAAGCUUAGUUAUCCUCCUUGAAGUAGGGGGCAGGAGGAAGGUUUGGACUCUCAAAUAAUUGUUUGAGUUAGUUUCAACAUUAGUUUGUUACUGAAGACAUUUGAUAACUGGAGACUUUAGAACAUGUACAUGUAUAUAUGCACAGGGAAAGUCACAAAGUGACGAGUGCACAUCUAGUGUGAUGCCAGGCAGGUCUCUGCCCAGGAGUUAAGUUGAGCUCAGGGUAGAAUUAAUGAUUAAAUGCAUUAUUGUUGCCAUCUGAUCCUCAGAGUCAAAAUUCCUAAAUAAUAAGGAAUAAUGGGUACCUCUUAAAUAAUAAAAAUUCUAGGAGGUAUCCCAGAUGGACAAGGAGUUCAAUCUAAGAGGAGAAAAAGUGGAGUUCCAUAGCAGGAAAAGUGUGCAUUCUUAACAUGAAAGAGAUUGGAAGGUGUAAAAGUGAGAGUGGCGCUGGAAUACACCAAGAACAGGUCAGAUCAAUGCCCUCAACCACCCAGGAACUCAUAAGGAACUGACGUGCAUGGCACCAGUAAAAAUGCCCCAACAUUGAAUGGCAGGGGACUUAGUCUCCAUGUCUUGGUGGCAAUGAUUGGAGGAGACAACAUCUAGAAGAUGACCCAAAUCAAUGAGAGUGGAAGUCACAGGAGAGUGUCAGUGUUGAUCGUGCAGCUAGAAAGUAGAGUGACAGUGAUACCCCGCAAAUGAAGAUGACUUCUGACUGCCUCUCUUAAACCUUUAUGGACUGUGAAAUGAGAAGCAAGUGAUCUUCCUGGUGAGGACGGUGCUUUUGAUAUACUAGGAAUGUAACUGUUUCUUUAAUUCAUCAUCAGGCUUCUUUUAUUUGGGCACAUGUGUGGCACGUGUAUGAAUAUAUAUUCAUGCAUUCAGCACAACUUGGCCAUACAAGGAGCUGAACACUAUAGGUCAGACUGUAAGUUCUGUGAGGGCACAAAGGAUACCUGUGUUACGUACGUCAGAAUCCCAAGGAUAGCACUUUGAGUCCCAAGCUCAAGAGGCUGAGGAUUCGAUCAAAAGGAAGUGUGUGUGGCUGCAAAGAGAGAGGUAGAAGGAAGUGUAAUUGGUGGCUGGAAUUUAAAUUUGAGAGAUAAAGAUGCAAAAGGAGAGACCAUCAUAAAGCACUUAGUGUUGUACCUGGCACAUAAUAAGCACCCAAUAAAUGAUUGCUACCCCCAUAUUCUACAGUGUACUCAUUUUAGGCAACCCUCCCCAAAACAGGGUAUCUUGGGGAAAUUCUAAAGCUUUCAGAUGGAUUUGUAACUAGCCAUAAAUCUGGCUUUGGGUAUAAUUUCAACCUUCUUAAUAGAGCACAAUAUAGUCCCUUCAGGCCAGCAGUAUUUUUAAGACAGAUGGUUUCGAUCAGUUAUUUUAUUAUUCAAAAGUCUGCCCCUCCACAGGAAUCCGUAGACGUUUAAACUGAAGAUGAGUGGUCAUUCUCAGCCAGAGUCAUCCCCAUCUUAAAAAAUACCUCUUCUCAUGUUUUGGUUACCCUUUCCUUUGAUGGACAAACAGCUCCAGCUGUUUCAAUCCUUGAAGUUGCCUCAAGCCUUCCUGAGCAGGCUGGAUAUCCCGCUCUUCCUACGGAGCAAGGGCAUCUGCAUUCAGCCCCUGAGGAGUAGAGAAGACCUACAUUUUCCCUCUGAUCUUAGGCUCAUUCUUUUUAGUAAAUACAAAUACACUGCAGCUCUGUGGAUCUUAUUCACCCAGCAAAAGGGCAUACCCAGUGUUGGGGUACUGAG
RNAcentral lists this long non-coding RNA (4943 nucleotides) under Sus scrofa (pig). RNAcentral's name for it is "lncRNA (ENSSSCG00000053397.1)". The record is from RNAcentral. Lineage: Eukaryota; Metazoa; Chordata; Mammalia; Artiodactyla; Suidae.